GCCUGGGUGGCUCAGUCAGUUGAGUGUCCGACUUCGGCUCAGGUCAUGAUCUCACGGUUCGUGGGUUCGAGCCCCACGUCGGGCU
Molecule: transfer RNA, 85 nt
Filed under: Felis catus (domestic cat)
Lineage: Eukaryota; Metazoa; Chordata; Mammalia; Carnivora; Felidae
Rfam family: tRNA
About the family: Transfer RNA (tRNA) molecules are approximately 80 nucleotides in length. Their secondary structure includes four short double-helical elements and three loops (D, anti-codon, and T loops).
Source: Rfam by way of RNAcentral